GAUGAACGCUGGCGGCGUGCCUAACACAUGCAAGUCGAGCGAAGCGCUGUUUUCAGAAUCUUCGGAGGAAGAGGACAGCGACUGAGCGGCGGACGGGUGAGUAACGCGUGGGCAACCUGCCUCAUACAGGGGGAUAACAGUUAGAAAUGACUGCUAAUACCGCAUAAGCGCACAGGACCGCAUGGUGUAGUGUGAAAAACUCCGGUGGUAUGAGAUGGACCCGCGUCUGAUUAGGUAGUUGGUGGGGUAAAGGCCUACCAAGCCGACGAUCAGUAGCCGACCUGAGAGGGUGACCGGCCACAUUGGGACUGAGACACGGCCCAAACUCCUACGGGAGGCAGCAGUGGGGAAUAUUGCACAAUGGGGGAAACCCUGAUGCAGCGACGCCGCGUGAAGGAAGAAGUAUUUCGGUAUGUAAACUUCUAUCAGCAGGGAAGAAGAUGACGGUACCUGAGUAAGAAGCACCGGCUAAAUACGUGCCAGCAGCCGCGGUAAUACGUAUGGUGCAAGCGUUAUCCGGAUUUACUGGGUGUAAAGGGAGCGUAGACGGAUAGGCAAGUCUGGAGUGAAAACCCAGGGCUCAACCCUGGGACUGCUUUGGAAACUGCAGAUCUGGAGUGCCGGAGAGGUAAGCGGAAUUCCUAGUGUAGCGGUGAAAUGCGUAGAUAUUAGGAGGAACACCAGUGGCGAAGGCGGCUUACUGGA
This 705-nucleotide ribosomal RNA is filed under the name uncultured Lachnospiraceae bacterium. Its description in RNAcentral is "bacterial SSU rRNA". It matches the Rfam family "Bacterial small subunit ribosomal RNA", at positions 28 to 733 of the family's 1533-position model. The record is from RNAcentral. Lineage: Bacteria; Bacillati; Bacillota; Clostridia; Lachnospirales; Lachnospiraceae.